Molecule: long non-coding RNA, 1441 nt
Organism: Cucumis melo (muskmelon)
Lineage: Eukaryota; Viridiplantae; Streptophyta; Magnoliopsida; Cucurbitales; Cucurbitaceae
Exons: 3
Source: RefSeq, a predicted model, not a curated record
GCCGCGCCGCUCCGAUCGAAGCCGAAGGGAGCCGCUUCGAUCCGCGCACAGCCGUCUCCCGCAGCCGCCACUCGAAGCCGAUCCGCCGCGCGUGCCUCCAGCCGUCGAAGCCGAACCCACGUUUCGGCCGACGCCCGAACCCGAAACCGAUCCGCGCCCGCUCGCCCGAAACCGACCCGCGCCCGCUCGCCCGAAACCGAACCCGCUCCACGCUCGCGCACGCCCGCUCCGAGUCGCAAGCCGAGCCCGCGCGCGCCCAUCCCACGCCACGAGCCGCGCCGGUCUGCACCACAAGCCGCGCCGCGCCGCCUGCACUGCAAGCCGAGCCGCGCCUCCUUGCUGACGCGAGCCGAGCCGCACGCGCAAGAUCCUUGCGCCAAGCCGAGCCGAGCCGAUCUCUGUCUCCUUCCAGCCGAGCCGCCAAGCCUAAUUUGGCUCCUUCCACCUAAUUUUUGGGACGUCUUGGACCAAGUAACUGCUGCAGCGGGGGAUUUCUUCAGUAGGGGCUUGAGCACUGCAAUCUCCUUCUAGGUUAGGACCUCGUCGCUUGGAAAGCGUACUGCCUCGCGGUUAGGACUCGUCAAGUAAAUCUCCAGGUAAGAGAUUCUACUACUAGCUCCACGCUUAGAAAUAUGAGAUGAUGUAUACUCCAAUUUUGCAUGUUGGGGAUUGGACGGUACGAUGCCUGAAAUCAAUGUUAGUAUGAUGUAAAUGACGGUAUGGCUAUACUAUAGCCUGUUAUGUGUGGCGAGAGCCGUUAUAGUUAUACGACGAAUGUCGAGACGGAGAGGGUAGAGAUGAUUUAUAUGAUAUGUUAUAUGCUGAUGCCAUGUGUAUGUAUACUGCACUUAGGGUACCUGUUAGCUCGAUCUGUUAGAGUCGUACCUGCAUGGGUGUCCUUCGGGAUCACCACCUAUUGAGGACUGUGUGGUCCGACGGGACGCCAGUCUAGCAUGGAUAUAGAUAUGACUCGAGUGACUCGACGGGGUCCUCGCAUCCCGACUGUCCUAGGUGUCCCUCGGGGCACCGAAGACCAGAGUUACGUUCCUACGGGAGCGCAUGAUUGCACGUGUUCGGGAACGUGCCAGAGAUUGGGUACCAGUUAUCAGGACUCUAACAGGAAGUUAACAGGCACCUAGUGGGACUAGUAGUGGGUCCCUUACUGAGUAUUUUUAUACUCACUCUCUUCGUUUUAUGUUUUCAGGUAGAGGACGGGGCAAGGGCAAGGGCAAGCUGGCGAGCGACCCGAAGUGAGACCGUGGAGGGCCAUAGGGACUACCGCUUCCGCUUAUUCUUAUUUCAGAUUUUCGCGUUUGAAAUUGAGUACUUUACAUCACUUACCAUCUUUUAUGUAGAUAGGGCCCGAGUAGGAUUUCAGAUUGCUUUUACGUUUCUGCAUGACUACCUUGUUUGAAUUUUAUAAAUAAAAUUUCUUAAACCG